UAAAUUGAGAGUUUGAUCCUGGCUCAGGACGAACGCUGGCGGCGUGCUUAACACAUGCAAGUCGAGCGAGAGAGUUUUCUUCGGGAAAUAAUCUAGCGGCGGACGGGUGAGUAACACGUGGGUGGUCUUAUGUCAAUAUUUUGGACACAAAAAGUCAAACUUUUUCAUGCUGCACUUCUAGCUAAUAAUUCACAUUGAUCUGGAGUCAUGUAAUUAAUAGAAGAGUGUAUCCUUUUUCUGUUAUACCAACCUUCAAUAUAUUUAAAUA
This 268-nucleotide non-coding RNA is filed under the name Clostridium fallax. RNAcentral's name for it is "Bacterial small subunit ribosomal RNA". It matches the Rfam family "Bacterial small subunit ribosomal RNA", at positions 1 to 201 of the family's 1533-position model. The record is from Rfam by way of RNAcentral. Lineage: Bacteria; Bacillati; Bacillota; Clostridia; Eubacteriales; Clostridiaceae.